ACAGCAUGAUGGAGACGCUUUCUAAUUAGAUCCUUAAGUCUCUCCUAGGUCUUAUGGAAUUUCUCACCAUUAACUUGUUAAAAGCUAGUGAUGGCUCCCCUGAUUU
Small nucleolar RNA from Macadamia integrifolia, 106 nucleotides. NCBI's taxonomy places the organism in Eukaryota, Viridiplantae, Streptophyta, Magnoliopsida, Proteales, Proteaceae. The record is from RefSeq and is a predicted model, not a curated record.